This 58-nucleotide transfer RNA is filed under the name Otolemur garnettii (small-eared galago). It matches the Rfam family "tRNA", at positions 8 to 63 of the family's 71-position model. Rfam says of the family: Transfer RNA (tRNA) molecules are approximately 80 nucleotides in length. Lineage: Eukaryota; Metazoa; Chordata; Mammalia; Primates; Galagidae. The record is from Rfam by way of RNAcentral.
UGGCUCAAAGGAGUAGAGCACCAGCCCCAUAUGCUGGAGGUGGUGGGUUCAAACCCAU